GGUUAAGUUAAUAAGGGCGCACGGUGGAUGCCUUGGCACUAGAAGGCGAUGAAGGACGUGACUAACUACGAAAUUCUGCGGGGAGCUGUAAGUAAGCAUUGAUCCGCAGGUGUCCGAAUGGGGGAACCCAGUAGCUAAUGGCUACUACUGUUUGUGUGAAUACAUAGCACUUACAGGGCAAGACGUUGUGAACUGAAACAUCUAAGUAGCAACAGGAAGAGAAAGCAAACGCGAUUUCCUUAGUAGCGGCGAGCGAAACGGAAGAAGGGCAAACCAAGAGACUUGUCUCUUGGGGUUGUAGGACUGCGCAGUGGACUUAUAUUUUAUAGACGAAUUACCUGGGAAGGUAAGCUAAAGAGAGUAAUAGCCUCGUAGUUANNNNNNNNNNNNNNNNNNNNNNNNNNNNNNNNNNNNNNNNNNNNNNNNNNNNNNNNNNNNNNNNNNNNNNNNNNNNNNNNNNNNNNNNNNNNNNNNNUGAAAUAGAAUAUAUACCUAGCAGUAUCCUGAGUACGGCGAGACACGAGAAAUCUCGUCGGAAUCUGGGAGGACCAUCUCCCAACCCUAAAUACUCUCUAGUGACCGAUAGUGAACAAGUACCGUGAGGGAAAGGUGAAAAGAACCCCGGGAGGGGAGUGAAAUAGCACCUGAAACCGUGUGCCUACAACAAGUUCGAGCCCGUUAAUGGGUGAGAGCGUGCCUUUUGUAGAAUGAACCGGCGAGUUAAGUUAUGAUGCGAGGUUAAGAUGAAGAGUCGGAGCCGUAGCGAAAGCGAGUCUUAAUAGGGCGCCAUAGUAUCAUGAUUUAGACCCGAAACCAUGUGACCUAUCCAUGAGCAGGGUGAAGGUGCGGUAAGACGCACUGGAGGCCCGAACCAGGACACGUUGAAAAGUGUUUGGAUGACUUGUGGAUAGCGGAGAAAUUCCAAACGAACUUGGAGAUAGCUGGUUCUCUCCGAAAUAGCUUUAGGGCUAGCGUCCAACUUGAAUGUAAUGGAGGUAGAGCACUGUUUGGGUGAGGGGUCCAUCCCGGAUUACCAAUCUCAGAUAAACUCCGAAUGCCAUUUACAUGCGUUGGGCAGUCAGACUGUGAGUGCUAAGAUCCAUAGUCGAAAGGGAAACAGCCCAGACCAUCAGCUAAGGUCCCAAAAUAUAUGUUAAGUGGAAAAGGAUGUGGGAUUGCACAGACAACUAGGAUGUUAGCUCAGAAGCAGCUAUCAUUUAAAGAGUGCGUAAUAGCUCACUAGUCGAGUGAUCCUGCGCCGAAAAUGUACCGGGGCUAAAACAUAUUACCGAAGCUAUGGAAUUAAAUUUAUUUAAUUGGUAGGAGAGCGUUCUUAUCAGCGAUGAAGGUAUACCGUGAGGAGUGCUGGAGCGAUAAGAAGUGAGAAUGCCGGUAUGAGUAGCGCAAGACAGGUGAGAAUCCUGUCCACCGUAAGACUAAGGUUUCCAGGGGAAGGCUCGUCCGCCCUGGGUUAGUCGGGACCUAAGGAGAGGCCGAAUGGCGUAUCCGAUGGACAACAGGUUGAUAUUCCUGUACUAGGUUAUAUAGUGAUUGGAGGGACGCAGUAGGCUAAGGUAAGCCAGUUAAUGGAUUCUGGUCUAAGCAGUGAGGUUUGGUAUGAGUCAAAUGCUUGUACCUCUAAGAUUGAGCUGUGAUGGGGAAGCACUUUCGAGUGCGAAGUACCUGAUGUCACACUGCCAAGAAAAUCUUCUAGCGUUUAAUUAUAACCUACCCGUACCGCAAACCGACACAGGUAGUCGAGGCGAGUAGCCUCAGGUGAGCGAGAGAACUCUCGUUAAGGAACUCGGCAAAAUGACCCCGUAACUUCGGGAGAAGGGGUGCUCUACAUUUGUAGAGCCGCAGUGAAUAGGCCCAAGCGACUGUUUAUCAAAAACACAGCUCUCUGCUAAAUCGUAAGAUGAUGUAUAGGGGGUGACGCCUGCCCGGUGCUGGAAGGUUAAGAGGAGUGCUUAGCGUAAGCGAAGGUAUGAAUUGAAGCCCCAGUAAACGGCGGCCGUAACUAUAACGGUCCUAAGGUAGCGAAAUUCCUUGUCGGGUAAGUUCCGACCCGCACGAAAGGCGUAACGAUUUGGGCACUGUCUCAACGAGAGACUCGGUGAAAUUUUAGUACCUGUGAAGAUGCAGGUUACCCGCGACAGGACGGAAAGACCCCAUGGAGCUUUACUGCAAGUUGAUAUUGAGUAUCUGUUGCACAUGUACAGGAUAGGUAGGAGCCAUUGAUCUGAGGACGCUAGUUUUCAGUGAGGCGAUGUUGGGAUACUACCCUUGUGUCAUGGCUACUCUAACCCGCAUGCCUAAUCGGCAUGGGAGACAGUGUCUGCUGGGCAGUUUGACUGGGGCGGUCGCCUCCUAAAGAGUAACGGAGGCGCUCAAAGUUUCCCUCAGCAUGGUUGGAAAUCAUGCGUAGAGUGUAAAGGUAUAAGGGAGAUUGACUGCGAGACUUACAAGUCGAGCAGGUACGAAAGUAGGACUUAGUGAUCCGGUGGUACCGCAUGGAAGGGCCAUCGCUCAACGGAUAAAAGCUACCCUGGGGAUAACAGGCUUAUCUCCCCCAAGAGUUCACAUCGACGGGGAGGUUUGGCACCUCGAUGUCGGCUCGUCGCAUCCUGGGGCUGUAGUCGGUCCCAAGGGUUGGGCUGUUCGCCCAUUAAAGCGGCACGCGAGCUGGGUUCAGAACGUCGUGAGACAGUUCGGUCCCUAUCCGUCGCGGGCGUAGGAAAUUUGAGAGGAUCUGCCCUUAGUACGAGAGGACCGGGGUGGACUUACCGCUGGUGUACCAGUUGUCUUGCCAAAGGCAUCGCUGGGUAGCUAUGUAGGGAACGGAUAAACGCUGAAAGCAUCUAAGUGUGAAACCAACCUCAAGAUGAGAUUUCCCAUUCUUUAUGAAUUAAGAGCCCUGAGAGAUGAUCAGGUAGAUAGGCUAGAAGUGGAAGGACAGUGAUGUUUGGAGCGGACUAGUACUAAUAGCUCGAGGACUUUACCUA
RNAcentral lists this ribosomal RNA (3005 nucleotides) under Pseudolactococcus raffinolactis. RNAcentral's name for it is "23S ribosomal RNA". It matches the Rfam family "Bacterial large subunit ribosomal RNA". Lineage: Bacteria; Bacillati; Bacillota; Bacilli; Lactobacillales; Streptococcaceae. The record is from RNAcentral.